UGUAGCUCAGUUGGUAAAGUAUUUGCCUUGCAUGCACAAGGCCCUGUGUUCAAUCCCUAGUAA
Molecule: transfer RNA, 63 nt
Filed under: Marmota monax (woodchuck)
Lineage: Eukaryota; Metazoa; Chordata; Mammalia; Rodentia; Sciuridae
Description: tRNA.Ala
Source: RNAcentral